GGAGUCUAACAUGUGCGCGAGUCAAUGGGUUUAUAAACCUAAAGGCGUAAUGAAAGUAAAGAAAGCUUUGCUUUUUGAGGGAGGAUGGUGAUUAGGCUUUUAACUAAGCGGUCACCCGCACUCCCGGGGCGUCUCUUCGUCAUUGCGACUGGAGGCGCACCAAGAGCGUACACGUUAGGACCCGAAAGAUGGUGAACUAUGCCUGGUCAGGACGAAGCCAGGGGAAACCCUGGUGGAGGUCCGUAGCGAUUCUGACGUGCAAAUCGAUCGUCAGAGCUGGGUAUAGGGGCGAAAGACUAAUCGAACCAUCUAGUAGCUGGUUCCCUCUGAAGUUUCCCUCAGGAUAGCUGGUGCCCAUGAGAACGAGUCUCAUCCGGUAAAGCGAAUGAUUAGAGGCAUUGGGGCCGAAACGACCUCAACCUAUUCUCAAACUUUAAAUAGAUGAGAACUUUGGCUUGCUUAAAUAGUGAAGCCAAAGAUUCGGAUCAGGGUGCCCAGUGGGCCAAUUUUG
RNAcentral lists this ribosomal RNA (511 nucleotides) under Tenagobia incerta. RNAcentral's name for it is "partial large subunit ribosomal RNA". It matches the Rfam family "Eukaryotic large subunit ribosomal RNA", at positions 670 to 1139 of the family's 3401-position model. The record is from RNAcentral. Lineage: Eukaryota; Metazoa; Arthropoda; Insecta; Hemiptera; Corixidae.